RNAcentral lists this ribosomal RNA (460 nucleotides) under uncultured bacterium. Its description in RNAcentral is "partial 16S ribosomal RNA". It matches the Rfam family "Bacterial small subunit ribosomal RNA", at positions 338 to 795 of the family's 1533-position model. The record is from RNAcentral.
CCUACGGGUGGCUGCAGUGAGGAAUAUUGGUCAAUGGGCGCGAGCCUGAACCAGCCAAGUCGCGUGAGGGAUGAAGGUUCUAUGGAUCGUAAACCUCUUUUAUAAGGGAAUAAAGUGUGGGACGUGUCCUAUUUUGUAUGUACCCUAUGAAUAAGGAUCGGCUAACUCCGUGCCAGCAGCCGCGGUAAUACGGAGGAUCCGAGCGUUAUCCGGAUUUAUUGGGUUUAAAGGGUGCGUAGGCGGCCUUUUAAGUCAGCGGUGAAAGUCUGUGGCUCAACCCUAGAAUUGCCGUUGAAACUGGGGGGCUUGAGUGUGUGAGAGGCAGGCGGAAUGCGUGGUGUAGCGGUGAAAUGCUUAGAUAUCACGCAGAACCCCGAUUGCGAAGGCAGCCUGCCAGGGCAUAACUGACGCUGAUGCACGAAAGCGUGGGGAUCAAACAGGAUUAGAUACCCGAGUAGUC